RNAcentral lists this ribosomal RNA (298 nucleotides) under uncultured eukaryote. Its description in RNAcentral is "partial 18S ribosomal RNA". It matches the Rfam family "Eukaryotic small subunit ribosomal RNA", at positions 1470 to 1796 of the family's 1831-position model. The record is from RNAcentral.
CCCUUAGACACUCUAGGCGGCACGCGCGCUACAAUGGGUGGAAGAACGUGUUACUGCCUCCGAAAGGAGGGGUGAAUCACGAAUUCUUGCCCGUGAAUGGGAUAGUUUGUUGCAAUUUUCGGACUUGAACUAGGAAUCCCUUGUAAACAUGCUCAAGAAUAGCGUGUUGAAUACGUCCCUGCCGUUUGUACACACCGCCCGUCGUUUCUUCCGACUGAUACUCAUUGCGAGUUGCAAGGACCCUUUAUUGGGAAAUUGCUGCAAAUGCUUUGUAUUGGAGGAAGAAAAAGUCGUAACA